UACAUGGGGUGCAAACGUUGCUCGGAAUUAUUGGGCGUAAAGCGCACGUAGGCGGUCCGUUAUGUCGGAUGUGAAAGCCCUCGGCUCAACUGAGGAAGUGCAUCCGAAACUGGCGGGCUUGAGUAUGGAAGAGGGUCGCGGAAUUCCCGGUGUAGAGGUGAAAUUCGUAGAUAUCGGGAGGAACACCGGUGGCGAAGGCGGCGACCUGGGCCAAUACUGACGCUGAGGUGCGAAAGCGUGGGGAGCAAACAGG
Molecule: ribosomal RNA, 253 nt
Filed under: uncultured bacterium
Lineage: Bacteria
Description: partial 16S ribosomal RNA
Rfam family: Bacterial small subunit ribosomal RNA
Source: RNAcentral